This 523-nucleotide ribosomal RNA is filed under the name uncultured Geobacillus sp. RNAcentral describes it as "bacterial SSU rRNA". It matches the Rfam family "Bacterial small subunit ribosomal RNA", at positions 1 to 507 of the family's 1533-position model. Lineage: Bacteria; Bacillati; Bacillota; Bacilli; Caryophanales; Anoxybacillaceae. The record is from RNAcentral.
AGAGUUACGUUAGUCCUGGCUACAGGACGAACGCUGGCGGCGUGCCUAAUACAUGCAAGUCGAGCGGACUGAAUGGAAGUUUGCUUUCGUCGGUUAGCGGCGGACGGGUGAGUAACACGUGGGCAACCUGCCCGUAAGACCGGGAUAACUUCGGGAAACCGGAGCUAAUACCGGAUAACACCGAAGAUCGUAUGGUCUUUGGUUGAAAGGCGGCUUUGGCUGUCACUUACGGAUGGGCCCGCGGCGCAUUAGCUAGUUGGUGAGGUAACGGCUCACCAAGGCGACGAUGCGUAGCCGACCUGAGAGGGUGAUCGGCCACACUGGGACUGAGACACGGCCCAGACUCCUACGGGAGGCAGCAGUAGGGAAUCUUCCGCAAUGGACGAAAGUCUGACGGAGCAACGCCGCGUGAGCGAAGAAGGUCUUCGGAUUGUAAAGCUCUGUUGUUAGGGAAGAACAAGUGCUGUUCGAAGAGGGCGGCACCGUGACGGUACCUAACGAGAAAGCCACGGCUAACUACGUG